AUUGAACGCUGGCGGCAGGCCUAACACAUGCAAGUCGAGCGGAUGAAGGGAGCUUGCUCCUGGAUUCAGCGGCGGACGGGUGAGUAAUGCCUAGGAAUCUGCCUGGUAGUGGGGGAUAACGUCGGGAAACGGGCGCUAAUACCGCAUACGUCCUGAGGGAGAAAGUGGGGGAUCUUCGGACCUCACGCUAUCAGAUGAGCCUAGGUCGGAUUAGCUAGUUGGUGGGGUAAAGGCCUACCAAGGCGACGAUCCGUAACUGGUCUGAGAGGAUGAUCAGUCACACUGGAACUGGGACACGGUCCAGACUCCUACGGGAGGGAGCAGUGGGGAAUAUUGGACAAUGGGCGAAAGCCUGGUCCAGCCAUGCCGCGUGUGUGAAGAAGGUCUUCGGAUUGUAAAGCACUUUAAGUUGGGAGGAAGGGCAGUAAGUUAAGACCUUGCUGUUUUGACGUUACCAACAGAAUAAGCACCGGCUAACUUCGUG
RNAcentral lists this ribosomal RNA (484 nucleotides) under uncultured bacterium. Its description in RNAcentral is "partial 16S ribosomal RNA". It matches the Rfam family "Bacterial small subunit ribosomal RNA", at positions 30 to 507 of the family's 1533-position model. The record is from RNAcentral.